RNAcentral lists this ribosomal RNA (1366 nucleotides) under Klebsiella pneumoniae MGH 79. Its description in RNAcentral is "bacterial SSU rRNA". It matches the Rfam family "Bacterial small subunit ribosomal RNA", at positions 8 to 1366 of the family's 1533-position model. Lineage: Bacteria; Pseudomonadati; Pseudomonadota; Gammaproteobacteria; Enterobacterales; Enterobacteriaceae. The record is from RNAcentral.
AGAGUUUGAUCAUGGCUCAGAUUGAACGCUGGCGGCAGGCCUAACACAUGCAAGUCGAGCGGUAGCACAGAGAGCUUGCUCUCGGGUGACGAGCGGCGGACGGGUGAGUAAUGUCUGGGAAACUGCCUGAUGGAGGGGGAUAACUACUGGAAACGGUAGCUAAUACCGCAUAACGUCGCAAGACCAAAGUGGGGGACCUUCGGGCCUCAUGCCAUCAGAUGUGCCCAGAUGGGAUUAGCUAGUAGGUGGGGUAACGGCUCACCUAGGCGACGAUCCCUAGCUGGUCUGAGAGGAUGACCAGCCACACUGGAACUGAGACACGGUCCAGACUCCUACGGGAGGCAGCAGUGGGGAAUAUUGCACAAUGGGCGCAAGCCUGAUGCAGCCAUGCCGCGUGUGUGAAGAAGGCCUUCGGGUUGUAAAGCACUUUCAGCGGGGAGGAAGGCGAUAAGGUUAAUAACCUUGUCGAUUGACGUUACCCGCAGAAGAAGCACCGGCUAACUCCGUGCCAGCAGCCGCGGUAAUACGGAGGGUGCAAGCGUUAAUCGGAAUUACUGGGCGUAAAGCGCACGCAGGCGGUCUGUCAAGUCGGAUGUGAAAUCCCCGGGCUCAACCUGGGAACUGCAUUCGAAACUGGCAGGCUAGAGUCUUGUAGAGGGGGGUAGAAUUCCAGGUGUAGCGGUGAAAUGCGUAGAGAUCUGGAGGAAUACCGGUGGCGAAGGCGGCCCCCUGGACAAAGACUGACGCUCAGGUGCGAAAGCGUGGGGAGCAAACAGGAUUAGAUACCCUGGUAGUCCACGCCGUAAACGAUGUCGAUUUGGAGGUUGUGCCCUUGAGGCGUGGCUUCCGGAGCUAACGCGUUAAAUCGACCGCCUGGGGAGUACGGCCGCAAGGUUAAAACUCAAAUGAAUUGACGGGGGCCCGCACAAGCGGUGGAGCAUGUGGUUUAAUUCGAUGCAACGCGAAGAACCUUACCUGGUCUUGACAUCCACAGAACUUUCCAGAGAUGGAUUGGUGCCUUCGGGAACUGUGAGACAGGUGCUGCAUGGCUGUCGUCAGCUCGUGUUGUGAAAUGUUGGGUUAAGUCCCGCAACGAGCGCAACCCUUAUCCUUUGUUGCCAGCGGUUCGGCCGGGAACUCAAAGGAGACUGCCAGUGAUAAACUGGAGGAAGGUGGGGAUGACGUCAAGUCAUCAUGGCCCUUACGACCAGGGCUACACACGUGCUACAAUGGCAUAUACAAAGAGAAGCGACCUCGCGAGAGCAAGCGGACCUCAUAAAGUAUGUCGUAGUCCGGAUUGGAGUCUGCAACUCGACUCCAUGAAGUCGGAAUCGCUAGUAAUCGUAGAUCAGAAUGCUACGGUGAA